Chenopodium quinoa (quinoa) is the source of this 697-nucleotide long non-coding RNA. RefSeq lists it as uncharacterized. NCBI's taxonomy places the organism in Eukaryota, Viridiplantae, Streptophyta, Magnoliopsida, Caryophyllales, Amaranthaceae. The transcript has 2 exons. The record is from RefSeq and is a predicted model, not a curated record.
UACAGAAUGAAGCGCUCAUUUCUUCCCUCUAUUUUUUUCACCAAAUAUUUUGAACAACACUUGUAAGAAUUUGCUUCCCUCUAUUCUCAAUUCUCACGUACAGAAGUACAUACAGUAGCUUUCAAUACCCCUUUUACUCCAUUUUCCCCAUUGCCAAUUUCUCACCAUUUUCCCCAACUUCUCAGAUCUCAUAACUUCAAUUCUCCAAAAAUACUUCAAAUUUUGAGACGAAAAUCACGAAAAAAAAUACUCCAAAAUUGUAAGAGGAAAAUAAGCAAAGAAAUCACUAAGGCGACACUCCGGCGGUGGUGGCUGAAGGCGGUGGUGGCUGAAGGCGGCACAGGCGGUCUCAAUUUCAUUUUGCAUGUCCCUUCCUUGAGCUGAUUGCUCGAAAUUCUCUUCAAGGUGAAUGGGGAGUCAAAUGGAGCGGAAGUAUAGUGACUAGCCAUCUAACAAAUGGUGCAUAUAUGUUGGCGACUCUUAUUCAAGUUCCGGCUUUGUGAAGAUUUGGAUAUUUCGGCUUAUAUAUAUGUUGACAAUUUGUAUUUUGGACGAUCAAAUUAAUUAUCUAACUUUUAUUUAUUAUUAGUACGGUACGUAUGUCAUACCAAAAAUAGGCAAGUAAUAUUUUGUAAUGUACGUAUUUUGCAUUAUAAUUAUUAUAUAUAAAUGAUACUUUAAUUUGUUUAUGUUAGUA